GCACCGGCCAACUACGUGCCAGCAGCCGCGGUAAUACGUAGGGUGCGAGCGUUGUCCGGAAUUAUUGGGCGUAAAGGGCUCGUAGGCGGUUUGUUGCGUCGGGAGUGAAAACUCAGGGCUUAACCCUGAGCCUGCUUCCGAUACGGGCAGACUUGAGGUAUGCAGGGGAGAACGGAAUUCCUGGUGUAGCGGUGAAAUGCGCAGAUAUCAGGAGGAACACCGGUGGCGAAGGCGGUUCUCUGGGCAUUACCUGACGCUGAGGAGCGAAAGUGUGGGGAGCGAACAGGAUUAGAUACCCUGGUAGUCCACACCGUAAACGUUGGGCGCUAGGUGUGGGACUCAUUCCACGAGUUCCGUGCCGCAGCUAACGCAUUAAGCGCCCCGCCUGGGGAGUACGGCCGCA
RNAcentral lists this ribosomal RNA (403 nucleotides) under uncultured bacterium. Its description in RNAcentral is "bacterial SSU rRNA". It matches the Rfam family "Bacterial small subunit ribosomal RNA", at positions 490 to 890 of the family's 1533-position model. The record is from RNAcentral.